Molecule: transfer RNA, 79 nt
Filed under: Tiamatella sp. (SeqCode)
Lineage: Archaea; Thermoproteati; Thermoproteota; Thermoprotei; Acidilobales; Acidilobaceae
Description: Candidatus Tiamatella sp. tRNA-Met
Rfam family: tRNA
About the family: Transfer RNA (tRNA) molecules are approximately 80 nucleotides in length.
Source: RNAcentral
GCCGCCGUAGCUCAGCCUAUGGCAGAGCGCCGGACUCAUAAUCCGGAGGUCCCGGGUUCAAAUCCCGGCGGCGGCACCA